Molecule: ribosomal RNA, 673 nt
Filed under: Junonia zonalis
Lineage: Eukaryota; Metazoa; Arthropoda; Insecta; Lepidoptera; Nymphalidae
Description: partial 12S ribosomal RNA
Source: RNAcentral
AGUAAUUAAUAUUAAAAAUUUAAGAAAUUAAGAUUUAGUAAUAUAAAAAUUAAUAACUAAUUUUGUGCCAGCAGUUGCGGUUAAACAAAAGUUAAAUUAAAUUAUUUCAGUAUAUAAUAAAUAAUUAAUUUAUUAAAAUAAAUAUUAAAUUAUUAAGUGAAAUUUUAAUUUAAUUAAAUUUUAUUUUAAAAUUAUGAUUUAAUAAAUUUUAAUAUAAACUAGGAUUAGAUACCCUAUUAUUAAAAAUUWAMWWURWWAUACUAAAAUAGUAAAUAAUAAUUUAUUGAAACUUAAAUAAUAUGGCGGUAUUUUAGUUCAUUUAGAGGAAUCUGUCUAAUAAUUGAUAAUCCACGAAUAAAUUUACUUAAUUUAUAAUUUUGUAUAUCAUUGUUAAAAAAAUAUUUUUUAGGAAAAAUAAUAUUUAAAAAUUAUAAUAAAAAAUUAAAUCAGAUCAAGAUGCAGAAUAUAAUUAAGAAUAUGAUGGAUUACAUUAAAUAUAUUUAUAUGAAUAAUUUUAUUGUAAUAAAAAUUUGAAGGUGGAUUUAAAUGUAAUUUUAAUUAGUUUAUUAAAAUGAUUAAAAAUUAAAAUAUGUACAUAUUGCCCGUCACUUUCAUUUAAAAAUUGAAAUAAGUCGUAACAAAGUAGAGGUACUGGAAAGUGUUUCUAGAAAGA